This 503-nucleotide ribosomal RNA is filed under the name uncultured bacterium. RNAcentral describes it as "partial 16S ribosomal RNA". It matches the Rfam family "Bacterial small subunit ribosomal RNA", at positions 899 to 1397 of the family's 1533-position model. The record is from RNAcentral.
ACUCAAAGGAAUUGACGGGGGCUCACACAAGCGGUGGAGCAUGUGGUUCAAUUCGAAGCAACGCGCAGAACCUUACCUGGGCUUGACUAGCUAGGAUUAUCCCUAUGAAAGUAGGGUAGGCCCUUCGGGGUACAACUAGUACAGGUGCUGCAUGGCUGUCGUCAGCUCGUGUCGUGAGAUGUCGGGUUAAGUCCCUUAACGAGCGAAACCUUUGCCCUUAGUUACUCCGGCUCAGCCGAGGACUCUAAGGGGACUGCCGGUGUCAAACCGGAGGAAGGUGGAGAUGACGUCAAGUCCUCAUGGCCUUUAUGCCCAGGGCCACACACGUGCUACAAUGGGGUGCACAGAGCGAACCGAGAGCGCAAGCUGGAGGAAAUCGCAUAAAUCACCCCCCAGUUCAGAUAGGAGGCUGCAACUCGCCUCCUUGAAGUUGGAAUCGCUAGUAAUCGCGGAUCAGCUACGCCGCGGUGAAUGUGUUCCUGAGCCUUGCACACACCGCCCGU